Molecule: long non-coding RNA, 981 nt
Filed under: Homo sapiens (human)
Lineage: Eukaryota; Metazoa; Chordata; Mammalia; Primates; Hominidae
Description: HSALNT0172198
Source: RNAcentral
CACAGGGCGGAGACCAGGGGAGGGCUGCUGGGAGUGGGGCGUGGUGGCGCUGCGAGAUGAAACCCCCGGUGUUGGUAAGCGGGUAUCAAGGGAGCGGCGAGGGCCUGGGCCUCACGCUUCUUGGUCUAGGCGGCUGGAAAGCAAGACACGGCAUCCCCUUUUGGACAUGGGGGAGCAGCAUGGCACUUCUAGUACCGACUGUAUGAACUUUCCAGCAAAAGCUGUUCCUACCCAGUUUGCAAGGCCCAGUCAGCUUGUACUCUCAGAGGGCCAGCACUCCACUCUGAUGGAAAUCUGCCUGUGAUGCCAGCCUGGGGAGUGCCCUUCACACGUGAUCUCAUCUAAGCCUGGCUUGACAGGUAUGUAUUGUAUCAUCAUCCCAUUUCACAGAUGUGGAAACUGAGACCAGUGAGGUAAAGCAACUGGUCAACAUCACAUGGUUAGUAAGUAUCAGAGUCCGGAUUUGAGCCAGAUCUGGUUCCAGAAUCUACAUGCCUAAACACUAUGUGCUGGGGCCUCUACAGCACUGCCCAUGCCUCUAGGGUACUUGACAGGUCAAGUCUAACCCUGAAAGAGCUGCUCUAGGCCUGACCCACUCCCAGUCCAUCCAAACAGUCUGUCAAGCUCAGGCCAGGGCACUGUAAGGGAGAGGAGACUCCACUGGCCUGGCCCUACCUUAUUUAGAAGAGUGAUACAGGAAACCCAAGGCAGUGAGGAGCUUCAGGAAGCAGUGUUACAUCUGUCCCCACCUUAACUACACUGGACAUAAAGCCUCUUGCUAUUGGCCUGGACCUGAGACACCCAUGUGGUGGAUAGAGAUGGAGACAGAGUCAUUCAUUCAUUUAACAAACCCUACUCCGAACCAAAUGUGGUUCCUGCACUCAUGUAACUUAUAAUGCAACAGAUGAAUAAUCAGAAGUACACAAUGCUGUCCAGACAUGGUGGCUCAGGCCUGUAAUCCCAGCACUUGGGAGGCUGAGG